GGCCAUCUGGGCGCGCUCCUCCGCGCCUCUAGCCUUUCCACCGCGCUCCAGGCCCAUCCCCGCACCAGCCUCUCUGGGAUCCGACGGCGACGCGGGUGUAGGCAGGUGAGUCGGCCGAGCCCCGCCCGGGCAGACGCGGAGGCAGGAAGCGCUCGCGCCAAUCCCUCUCCUGAACCCUGCCCUCACCCCCCACUCACCGGCGCCAGGAGUACGCAGGACGCGUGAGCCCCUUCGCGCCCCCAGCGCCGUCGGCGUCGCUGCCCCAGACAAACACUGCCCCGAGAGGCCUCACAGAGGCGGAGGCUGGGGGCGGCGACCCGGAGCCGCCUCAGCCCUUGCCUUGGGCGCCGUCACCUCAGUCCCCAGAAGCCCUGGGUUCCUGCAGUCUACGAAAAUGCGGAGGACAGCGUGGUUCCGAGAGAGGGCGCCAAAGGCGACGUACGGGCGGCCAGCUCCAGGCCGAGCCCAGAGCGCCUGCAGGAACCUGCCCCUUCACCCGGCGCGGGACGCAGAGCUGUGCCAGAAUCUUGUUCAGCGCGGACUCAACGCCAGGGCGCCGCCUAGAGGUCGGUCUCUGUCUCGGCCUCACCCGCCGGGAGACCACAGAGCUGCUUCCCCAGCCGCCCGCCGCCAGAAAUUGAAAAAAAAAAAAAAAAAAAAAAAAAAAUCCAGCUGGGGUCUAGGAACUCGGCUUCUGGAACCUCUGACUCCUCCGAGACUGCCUCCUCCCUCCCCGACACAUAAGGAACCCCUUUAAGGGAGACGGGCUAGGAAGUCCCAGAAAUAUUUAUUCUUGUGACUCUUCACAAAAUGGAAGAGGGUCUCAAUUCUGGUUUCUUUAAGGAUCUUGUGUUUUGCGUCUGUGUCUACGCUGCCUCCUCUUAGCAUCCAAAUUGUCCAGCUCCGCGCCCCACUCCAAUUGCACUAGAACUCUGUUUUAUCUUCAAUGAAGAAAGAGAGCAGGGAGAAGCUGCCUCUAAACCCUCCAGCUUAGCCAUCAAUUUUCGGAAUAAUUUGGAGAUCAACAUGCUUUUGGAAAAGUGUUUGGAAAACGUUUGGGAGUGAAAAGAAACGUUGCCUAAAUGGCCUUUACUCACUGAGUGACCAUCAUCUCAGCUAGUGUAUGAGCAGCACCAGCACCCCAUCCAUGGGUGCCUGUGCUGAGCCUGUGAAAGUUGACUUCUUUGGCGUGCCCUCGGAAGGACACAGCUGGUAUCUAUGGGAACGGCUUUGGGGUGUCCUUUGGCACCAUGCGGAGAGUUUUAUUUUUUUUUAACUGGAAUCCGUGGCCUGGGUUCUUCAGAUGGGGUAAGGGAAAGCCACAAAGCCCCUGAAAUGUAUGCAAAACAUAUGGGUGUGCAGGUGCACCAUCCUAAGGCUAUGGCCUCCUCAGUUUUCCCAAAGACUCUAAGACUAUAAAAGG
Long non-coding RNA from Cebus imitator (Panamanian white-faced capuchin), 1423 nucleotides. RefSeq lists it as uncharacterized. Lineage: Eukaryota; Metazoa; Chordata; Mammalia; Primates; Cebidae. The transcript is spliced from 2 exons. The record is from RefSeq and is a predicted model, not a curated record.